UAACCACCUGUCUCUCCUAGUUUGG
This 25-nucleotide unclassified non-coding RNA is filed under the name Mus musculus (house mouse). RNAcentral describes it as "oocyte_clustered_small_RNA3421". The record is from RNAcentral. Lineage: Eukaryota; Metazoa; Chordata; Mammalia; Rodentia; Muridae.